This 2972-nucleotide ribosomal RNA is filed under the name Pinus taeda (loblolly pine). Its description in RNAcentral is "eukaryotic LSU rRNA". It matches the Rfam family "Eukaryotic large subunit ribosomal RNA", at positions 1 to 2923 of the family's 3401-position model. The record is from RNAcentral. Lineage: Eukaryota; Viridiplantae; Streptophyta; Pinopsida; Pinales; Pinaceae.
GCGACCUCAGCUUAGGCAAGAACACUUGUUGAGUUUAAGAAUAUAAUUAAGCAGAGCAAAAGAAACUUACAAGGAUUCCCCUAGUAGCAGUGAGCGAACUAGGAAGAGUCCAACAUGAAAAUCAGGUGGCAACAUCGCCUGAAUUGUAGUCUGUAGAAGCGUCCUCAGUGGCGGACCUGAGCUAAGUCCCUUGGAAGGGGGUGCCUGAGAGGGUGACAACCCCGUCGGGCCGGGACCCUGCCACAUCAUGAGGUGUUGUCGGCAAGUUGGGUUGUUUGGGAAUGCAACCCUAAUUGGCUGGUAAAUUUUGUCCAAGGCUAAAUACGGGUGAGAGACCGAUAGUGAACAAGUGCCGUGAAGGAAGGAUGAAAAGGACUUUAAAAAGAGAGUUAAAGAGUGCUUCAAAUUGUUGGGAGGGAAGUAGAUGGAGGCUAUCAAUGCGUCUCGGUCAGAUGUGGAACUGCUCAGGCUGGUCCGUCGCUCAACUUGAGGUGAAAACCAACACAGGCUGCCGCAUCAUCACAAGCACAGGUGGAUUACUGCCUGUCAGUUUUCCGUUGCGGUGGUUGAGGAAGGAAGCGUGUGCCCUUAUGGCCAGUCGUGUGCAACUGCGCACUCGUGGUGCUGGUUGGAGGGCUUUCCAUUCAGCCUAUCUUGAAACACGGACCAAGGAGUCUAACAUGUGUGCGAGUUGGUGGGUUUGAAAACUUGCGAGGCAUAAGGAAGCUGACGGGAAAGAUCCCCUCUCCGGGGGGUGCAUCAUCGACCGAACUUGAGCGUAUGCAAAGGGUUCGAGUGCGAGCACACCUGUUGGGACCCGAAAGAUGGUGAACUAUGCCUGAGCAGGGCAAAGACAAAGGAAACUCUGGUGGAAGCUCGUAGUGAUACUGACGUGAAAAUCAUUCAUCUGACUUGGGCAUAGGGGCGAAAGACUAAUCGAACCAUCUAGUAGCUGGUUUCCUCCGAAGUUUCCCUUAGGAUAGCUAGAGCUCACGCGCGAGUUUUAUCGGGUAAAGAAAAUGAUUAGAGGCAUCAAGGGCAUAAUGCCCUUGACUUAUUCUCAAACUUGAAAUAGGUAAGAGGGUGUGACUGCUCCAUUGAGUUGUGUUGUGGAAUCAAGAGCUCCAAGUGGGCCAUUUUUGGUAAGAAAAAUUGGCGAUGCGGGAUGAACCGAAAGUCGAGUUACGGUGUGGAAUUGUGCACUAACCUAGAUCCCACAAAGGGUGUUGGUUGAUUAAGACAACAAGACGGUGGUCAUGGAAGUUCAAAUCUGCUAAGGAGUGUGUAACAACUCACCUGCCGAAUCAACUAGCCCCGAAAAUGGAUGGUGCUGAAGCACACAACCUAUAUUCGACCAUCGGAGCAAUUGCCUGGCUCCGAUGAGUAGGAGGAUGAAAGGGUCAUUGAGAAACCUCAGGCGUGAGCUUGGGUAAAUCGGUCCCCAGUGCAGAUCUUGGUGGUAGUAGCAAAUAUUCAAAUGAGAACUUUAAAGACUGAAGUAGGGAAAUGUUCCAUGUGAACAACACUUGGACAUGGGUUAGUCGAUCCUAAGAGAUGGGGAAGCCUUGUAUCAAGGGUGCACUCUGCACGGGCAUCGAAAGGGAAUUGGGUUAAUAUUCCCAAACUGAGACAUGGUGAUGGGUGACAACAUUAGGAAAUCCGAAGACAUCAUCGAGGGCCCCGGGAAGAGUUAUCUUUUCUUUUUAACAGUUUGCCCACCCUGGAAUCAGUAAACCUAGAGAUAGGGUCCAACAGCUAGAAGAGCACCGCACAUCUUGUGGUGUCUGGUGCACCCUCAGUAGCCCUUGAAAAUCUGGAGGAUCAAGUACCAUUCAUGCUCGGUCAUACUCAUAACCACAUCAGGUCUCCAAGGUGAACAACUUCUAGUCAAUAGAACAAUGUAGGUAAGGGAAGUCGGAAAAAUGGAUCCGUAACUUCGGGAAAAGGAUUGGCUCUGAGGGUUGGGCCUAGGGGUCUGUGCCUUCAACUCGUGGGCUAUCAAUAGUCUUACCAAGCUGCUCUCACAGUGAAGGCAGGCAGUUGGGUGCCGAUUGGGCUACGGGCAUAGAAUGCCCCCUGCUGGGGGCUUUUCCCUAGGCAUCGAAUAGUCAAGUCAUAAUUGGUACGGACAAGGGGAAUCUGACUGUUUAAUUAAAACAAAGCAUUGCGAUGGUCCUUGUGAAUGCUGACGCAAUGUGAUUUCUGCCCAGUGCUCUGAAUGUCAAAGUGAAGAAAUUCAACCAAGCGCAGGUAAACGGUGGGAGUAACUAUGACUCUCUUAAGGUAUCCAAAUGCCUCGUCAUCUAAUUAGUGAUGCACAUGAAUGGAUUAACGAGAUUCCCACUAUCCCUAUCUACUAUCUGGCGAAACCACAACCAAGGGAACGGGCUUGGCAGAAUCAGCGGGGAAAGAAGACCCUGUUGAUCUUGACUCUAGUUCGACUUUGUGAAAUGACUUGAGAGGUGUAGAAUAAGUGGGAGCCAUUUUUGGCGCAAGUGAAAUACCACUACUUUUAAUUUUAUUUUACUUAUUCCGUGGGGUGGAGAUAAGGCACUACCCCUGUUUAUGACCUUAAGGCACAUUUCGGUGGGUUGGUCCAUGUGGAAGACAUUAUCAGGUGGGGAGUUUGGCUGGUGCAACACAUUUGUUAAAAGAUAACGUAGGUGUCCUAUGAUGAGCUCAACGAGAACAUAAAUCUCAUGUCGAACAAAAGGGUAAAAGCUCAUUUGAUUUUGAAUUUCAGUACGAAUACAAACUGUGAAAGCAUGGCCUAUCGAUCCUUUAGAUUUUCAGAAUUUAAAGCUAGAGGUGUCCGAAAAGUUACCACAGGGAUAACUGGCUUGUGGUAGCCAAGCGUUCAUAGCAACAUUGCUUUUUGAUCCUUCGAUGUCAGCUCUUAUGUCACACGGAGUGAGUCGAGGUUGCGAACAAGAUCGACCUUCCUAGUAUCUACUGAUAUCUAGUGACAAGCA